Molecule: ribosomal RNA, 420 nt
Filed under: Triticum aestivum (bread wheat)
Lineage: Eukaryota; Viridiplantae; Streptophyta; Magnoliopsida; Poales; Poaceae
Description: partial small subunit ribosomal RNA
Source: RNAcentral
AUGAAGAUACAUCUUAAGAAUAAAAUCUUUGCAUGGUAUCUUCGUUGCGGAGUCAUUCUUACUAAAGAUAACCUUAUCAAGAGGAAUUGGCAUGGAACCCCGCAAUGUGUAUUUUGUCACUAUGAGGAGACAAUAAAACAUUUAUUCUUUCAAUGCAAAUUGGCUCGUUCCAUAUGGCCAGUCAUCCAAAUAGCUUCUGACUUGUAUCCUCCCUGUAGUGUUGCUAAUGUAUUUGGAAACUGGUUACAUGGGAUUGAUCACAGGUUUAGAACUCUUCUCAGGGUGGGAGUGCUUGCCGUUAUUUGGUCGCUUUGGCUAUGUAGAAAUGAUAAGGUUUUUAAUGAUAAAAGUACUUCUCUGUUGCAGGUUAUGUACAGAUGUACUGGGACUCUUCGUUUAUGGUCCUCUCUACAACGCUGA